GACGAACGCUGGCGGCGUGCUUAACACAUGCAAGUCGAACGAAGAGCGAUGGAAGCUUGCUUCUAUCAAUCUUAGUGGCGAACGGGUGAGUAACGCGUAAUCAACCUGCCCUUCAGAGGGGGACAACAGUUGGAAACGACUGCUAAUACCGCAUACGAUCUAAUCUCGGCAUCGAGGAUAGAUGAAAGGUGGCCUCUACAUGUAAGCUAUCACUGAAGGAGGGGAUUGCGUCUGAUUAGCUAGUUGGAGGGGUAACGGCCCACCAAGGCGAUGAUCAGUAGCCGGUCUGAGAGGAUGAACGGCCACAUUGGGACUGAGACACGGCCCAGACUCCUACGGGAGGCAGCAGUGGGGAAUCUUCCGCAAUGGACGAAAGUCUGACGAAGCAACGCCGCGUGAGUGAUGACGGCCUUCGGGUUGUAAAGCUCGGUUAAUCGGGACGAAAGGCCUUCUUGCGAAUAGUGAGAAGGAUUGACGGUACCGGAAGAGAAAGCCACGGCUAACUACGUG
Molecule: ribosomal RNA, 510 nt
Filed under: uncultured bacterium
Lineage: Bacteria
Description: partial 16S ribosomal RNA
Rfam family: Bacterial small subunit ribosomal RNA
Source: RNAcentral